AGCAGCUGUCCUCCACGCAGGCCCUCCCACCAGGCUGCCCGCCUUGGCCUUGGAGCCAGCCGACUAUGGACUGAAGCCUCUAAAAACAACGUUCCAGAGACAUCGUCCUGUUAAACAGCCCAUAUGGUUUCACUGCUGGGGUGAAAAAGAACAACACGAAAUGGGGUAAAUGGGGGAGACAGGAAAGACUUGAGCAGAAGUGAUUUAACCUUGGCUGAUAUUUACAUUGAAGAGAAAGAGGCAAGAGACAAUAUUGCCCCUCAGAGGAGGUAUACUCAGAGACAUUUUCAGUGCCUAACAAUUCUUGAAGAUGAGAUUGAACUUGUGACCACCCAGAGGAUGAGGAUGAAUAAAAGCAAGAAGAAACUGUCUGGUGCAGCUGCACCUUUCCCCACUUGUGUCCAGCAGUGAUAAAUGGAUAACGUUUCAUCCAAGGAGCUCAUCUCUCAUUUCAGCUGGAGCAGAAAUGAUUUCCUUUGAAACAGCCCACUUCCAAGUCCAGAUGGACAGAAGCGCAGUUCUAGCGCGGGCCACUGCCUGGAGGGAAGGCAGCUACGGCCCUGGGGGUGGCAUUGCAGCUUCCCCGACUUUGCCGUCUCAGAGGAGCCAAGUCACAUUUCUGGGCCCAUUAUUUCCCGCCCUUGAGAAAUGGUAGGAUCUGAGUAUAAUUAAGAUCAUUUACACCCCCCAACCCUUAAAAGAGCCAAACCUCAGAAUCUGUAGUCACCUGAUGCGUCUUUUGCAUCCACCUCCUUGUUUUGCUUGCUUUCUCCUUUGUCGUAUUUUUAUUUGCGAUUGCCUGUGUGUUUGAUUCCUCUACCAGAGGUAGAGAAACACUGCACUCCAGGCCUCGUUCCCCAGUCAUUUGCCAUGUACCCGAGAGCGGAGCUUGCCUUUUGCUUCUCUGGAGCCUUCCUGUAGGGUCUAAUUGCUUUUCGGCGUAGAGGAGCCUGCAUUCCCAUUUUAAACCGGCUGACCAACGUGCCUGCAAGCUUGCCAUGAGACACAUGAAGAGGAUCCACAGCUGCAUGCAGCAGGUCAUGGAAUUUAUACUGCUCAGUUUGGAGGUGUGCUGAGCUCCUGGGUCAUCCAUGCAGAUUCGAAAUCGUUGAGAGGCUGCUCUGCAAGGUCCCACGGCUCGUCCCUAGAAAAACACUGGAAGCAAAUCAGAAAACACUGUCUCAUGACUGUUUAAGAACUGGAAUAGUCUAUAUUCUCCUCAGACAAACAGACCUGGAAGAAUCCCAGAGAACACACAUUUUCAGGCUAUGAAGAAAUGAUGGUUCUGAAGUCAUCUCCUGAGUGUAAAUACCAGAGAUAAGAAGAGGUUUAAAGAUUUCAUUGAAAGCUAUGGUGUUACCUUCAUAUGGGGGACCCUAGAGGAUGUCGUGGACUGAAGAAGACCUACUACACCCCCGGCCCUCAGAGAAGAAACUGAAGAUGCCUGUGCAGCCAUCUCAAUGGCCAAGGCCACCCAAGCAGCGGUUCACUGAAUUCCUAGACGUCUGGAAGCUCACGGACACCACACUGAGCACCUCUUGCAAUUGUAGAGGCAAAGGAACAUCUCUCAUCUAUCAGGAAGUGCUUUCAUCUUCAACCAAAGGAAAAGAUCACAUGAGGAGUGAUGGCAAAGCACGGCCAGGGGAGGAAUUUCACAUGACGUGCAGAUGCUGGAGGAUGACGACACAUACUGGAGCUCACAGGAAUCGUGAGGUCCAGCGCAUCACACCUGUCUCUACGUUGUGCUUUCUGGUUCCUAGAAACAAAUACGUGUCUUGUUGUGCUAAACUUCGUCUUUUUCAACUUUACACCAUGCAUCUUGGUUUCCCUUGUACAAAAUACUAUGGAUAUAAUUCGAAGUCGACUUACUUUACCUUGUUGCAGGAUUAAUUUUAAACACAGAAUUCACAUUUCUGUUUGGAGAGUCAAAUGAAAGUCUCAUGAUCAUCAUUAUACUAAUGCAUGAAUGCAGCUGUCCAAUAACCAAGCAGGUAUUUGUCUAGUUUCUAUUCCAUUUAUUAGACUGCAAGAAAAAGAAGCAUUAAUCUACCUCUAGUGAUAUUGACAAG
Molecule: long non-coding RNA, 2069 nt
Organism: Heterocephalus glaber (naked mole-rat)
Lineage: Eukaryota; Metazoa; Chordata; Mammalia; Rodentia; Bathyergidae
Source: Ensembl